AACAUUGUAACGAAAGGGAAUUGCUUUUUCGGAAGAGUACGGUACCAGAUCGACAGGCUUAAUGAUAAGAACAGGAGAAGCCUUCUGCUUCCUACCAUCAUACUUGAUGAUAACAGGCUCGGGCAUCCGGAAUACUGGGGAAAUUACGUUGACCUUAGGCUCAUCUUCAUCAACAUUCCUAUUCUGAAGAAUCUCAAUGACUCCUUCAUCCAGCAUUUCCUGAAUAUCCUUGCGCACAUG
RNAcentral lists this long non-coding RNA (240 nucleotides) under Lathyrus oleraceus (garden pea). RNAcentral's name for it is "Pisum sativum (pea) long non-coding RNA (PSAT_LNC033177)". Lineage: Eukaryota; Viridiplantae; Streptophyta; Magnoliopsida; Fabales; Fabaceae. The record is from RNAcentral.